Molecule: transfer RNA, 87 nt
Filed under: Bacteroidota bacterium
Lineage: Bacteria; Pseudomonadati; Bacteroidota
Also listed under: 1 other name
Description: tRNA-Ser
Rfam family: tRNA
About the family: Transfer RNA (tRNA) molecules are approximately 80 nucleotides in length. Their secondary structure includes four short double-helical elements and three loops (D, anti-codon, and T loops). Further hydrogen bonds mediate the characteristic L-shaped molecular structure. tRNAs have two regions of fundamental functional importance: the anti-codon, which is responsible for specific mRNA codon recognition, and the 3' end, to which the tRNAs corresponding amino acid is attached (by aminoacyl-tRNA synthetases). tRNAs cope with the degeneracy of the genetic code in two manners: having more than one tRNA (with a specific anti-codon) for a particular amino acid; and 'wobble' base-pairing, i.e. permitting non-standard base-pairing at the 3rd anti-codon position.
Source: RNAcentral
GGAGAGGUGCCGGAGUGGUCGAACGGGGCGGUCUCGAAAACCGUUGUGCCCUUUGGGGUACCGAGGGUUCGAAUCCCUCCCUCUCCG